This is a long non-coding RNA of Canis lupus familiaris (dog), 2102 nucleotides long. RefSeq lists it as uncharacterized. The record is from RefSeq and is a predicted model, not a curated record. The transcript is spliced from 5 exons. Lineage: Eukaryota; Metazoa; Chordata; Mammalia; Carnivora; Canidae.
UGAGGUCACUGGUCUGGGAAUUAGCCUCUCAGAGCCCCUCAGCUUAGGAGACUGGAGCCCGAGGCCUAGAAACACAGGUUGCAAGGGCCGAAGGCCAAAGCAUGUCUGUGUAUGUGGAACUGAGGCCCCACCCUCGCCGUUGGCUUGGCACCAGGUUGGUCUGAAGCACAGUGGGUGCUGAUGCUGUGGGUCCAGGUGGUACACAUGUGGAACCACUGACCUAGAGAUUCUUGCAACAGCCCUGGUGGUGAGAGGAGACAAGUGGGAGGGACCGAGAUGGUGACAGCACAGACACAGGGAACGGGAUGCAUGUGUGCUUAAAACCUGCCAGGAGGAAGCUGCUGAGGACAGGUGCAGCUACAGAGAGGAGUGUCCUCCUCCCUCUGCAGGGAUGAGCCUCUUGCCUGUCCCUGAGCUGGGGCCUUGGAAACUUGGGACAGGGAGGAGCCCCAGGCUGAGCGGGAGCACCUCCAGGAGCAGCUGGGGAGGACGACGUAAGCAUGCCAGCCAGGGGAGCAGAGGGACACGAGGGAACCAAUGUAAGGGGGUGGACCAGUCUAGUGUCCUUUCGUUGGAAUCGGUGCCGUGAGACACGUCUGCCCCUCUGCCCUCGAUAUGUGCGGCCCGGGGACCGGAAGACAGCAGCGGGAGGCAGAGACCCGCAAACUCUGCUGCCCAGACGAGCCCCGCACGGACACACUGGCCCUUGAAGAAAAGCCCUGAAGGAUGUGAGCAGCAGUCCUGGCUCAAAGCAGCAGCACGGCACCAGAAUUGGAGGGUCACACGCUCCAGGUGAGUUCUCCAUGAAGACAGCAGUGACAGCCCUCCAGGACCCCCAUUUGGCCCUGCUUGCCCUACAGCCUUGGUCAAUCUCCUCCCCCUUCUCACCUGCAUGUAAUAAACACACCUCAGCCUUGGGUGUCGCGGGACGGCUCCUCAGCUAGGGGACACAUGGCCCUGCAGCCCUGUAACGAGCAACACCCCACUGGGCACCACCCCUGACUGAUCCCAUGGAACUUGGGUUGCUCCCCAAGGAAAGGCCUGGAAGGUGGAAAGCUGGAGUAGGGUGUAGACAAGCAAGCAGGUGAGUCCAUGGGGACAAGUGCCAGGAUCCCCAGACCCACAUUUACACCAACAGGGAAGCCCCACAACUUCCCUUUGGUGGUAGGUCCUUUCCUGAAAGGCUGAAGUCAUUUCCCAAGCCCGGCCUGGCCUGGACACUUGGUUUAACUGACGGAACGUGCGAGAGAGGACGAGGUGCCAAGUCUGGGCCUGGGGCCUGAUGCCUCCUUCAUUGCCCGCUCACUCACCCUCUGGGAGCCCCCGGGCUGCCCCCUGCAUAAGGGAGACAGAGGGUGCCCAUACCCCACUGCAGCCCACCAGCUCAGGGCAAGCCAGCUCCAGGCACUGAUCCGUGGAGCAGCCGGACAGUCGGCCCAGCAGAGCCUAGACCGCCCAUCUGCGGCGUCUUUGGCUAAAUUGAUGGUUGUAUUUCUUUAAUACCACUGUUUGGGGGUGGCCUCUUGCCUUCCUGCCUUCCUUCCUUUUCUUUCUUUCUCUCUCUCUUUUCUUUCUUUCCUUCUCUUUUCUUUCUUCCUUCUAUUUCUCUCUUUCUUUUUUAAUGAAGCAGAAGUUGACAGAUUUAUCUCCGUGGGAAACUAGAAGUUGGCCCAGAAAGUCUCCUGAUGCAGGGUCAUCAGGUCAAGAAGUGGGUAGGGCCGAGGCUGCCCCUGGCAAGAGGGGAUUAAUGAGAGGUGCACGUGUCUACCUGGUUCUCAGCCGUUACCCAAAUGGAAAGCCCCUGCAUCUGGGCGCUUCUCUGCCAAGAAGGGGAACAGAACAGCAUCUCUGUGGGAACCCAGGGAGCCCAGAGGACCCCGAGCAGGGACAUGAAGUGGGAGAACCAUGUCAGUCUGCUCCCAGCAGGACAGCGCAUUAUAGGACCUUAGGUCAUCUUCCACUUACAGCAGGAAAAGUCACAGAUAGUAGAAAAGUCCGGCUUUCUGUCCAGUCACAUAUCACUUUCCCAUCACCAUGCAAAAAGUCAAGCAGCUUUUAGGUGCAUUACUCCUAAAUAUUAAAGAGGAUCCAAAUGUAGGAGG